GAUGAACGCUAGCGGCAGGCUUAACACAUGCAAGUCGAGGGGUAGAGGCUUUCGGGCCUUGAGACCGGCGCACGGGUGCGUAACGCGUAUGCAAUCUGCCUUUCACAGAGGGAUAGCCCAGAGAAAUUUGGAUUAAUACCUCAUAGCAUAACACAACCGCAUGGUUGAGUUAUUAAAGUCACAACGGUGAAAGAUGAGCAUGCGUCCCAUUAGUUAGUUGGUAGGGUAACGGCUUACCAAGACUUCGAUGGGUAGUGGUCCUGAGAGGGAGGUCCCCCACACAGGUACUGAGACACGGACCAGACUCCUACGGGAGGCAGCAGUGAGGAAUAUUGGUCAAUGGGCGCAAGCCUGAACCAGCCAUGCCGCGUGCAGGAUGACGGUCCUAUGGAUUGUAAACUGCUUUUGUACGAGAAGAAACACUCCUUCGUGAAGGAGCUUGACGGUAUCGUAAGAAUAAGGAUCGGCUAACUCCGUGCCAGCCGCCGCAGUAA
This 494-nucleotide ribosomal RNA is filed under the name uncultured bacterium. RNAcentral describes it as "partial 16S ribosomal RNA". It matches the Rfam family "Bacterial small subunit ribosomal RNA", at positions 28 to 523 of the family's 1533-position model. The record is from RNAcentral.